ACCAGACUCCUACGGGAGGCAGCAGUGGGGAAUAUUGCACAAUGGGGGAAACCCUGAUGCAGCGACGCCGCGUGAGUGAAGAAGUAUUUCGGUAUGUAAAGCUCUAUCAGCAGGGAAGAAAAUGACGGUACCUGACUAAGAAGCCCCGGCUAACUACGUGCCAGCAGCCGCGGUAAUACGUAGGGGGCAAGCGUUAUCCGGAAUCACUGGGUGUAAAGGGAGCGUAGACGGCUGUGCAAGCCUGAAGUGAAAGGCGGGGGCCCAACCCCUGGACUGCUUUGGGAACUGUACGGCUGGAGUGCAGGAGAGGUAAGUGGAAUUCCUAGUGUAGCGGUGAAAUGCGUAGAUAUUAGGAGGAACACCAGUGGCGAAGGCGGCUUACUGGGCUGUAACUGACGUUGAGGCUCGAAAGCGUGGGGAGCAAACAGGAUUAGAUACCCUGGUAGAG
This 448-nucleotide ribosomal RNA is filed under the name uncultured bacterium. RNAcentral's name for it is "bacterial SSU rRNA". It matches the Rfam family "Bacterial small subunit ribosomal RNA", at positions 330 to 793 of the family's 1533-position model. The record is from RNAcentral.